Zeugodacus cucurbitae (melon fly) is the source of this 2182-nucleotide long non-coding RNA. RefSeq lists it as uncharacterized. The record is from RefSeq and is a predicted model, not a curated record. NCBI's taxonomy places the organism in Eukaryota, Metazoa, Arthropoda, Insecta, Diptera, Tephritidae. The transcript is spliced from 2 exons.
CGAAAUAAAAAAUUAGAACUGAACUGCGAAUAAAAAUGGACUAAAAAUUGUGACUAAAAGUUUAAAUAAUUCAAAAAAAAAUAAAAAUCUCGACAGCAUUAUCUCAAUAAACUUAUUGACUAAUACAAACUUUUUGAAUUUUUUUUCCCAGAUCAUCCAGAAAUGAGUGACACAGUUCAUCGCAAUGUAACUUUUUUUACGGUUUCGGGUAAAUUCUUUGUUAAUUAUCAUCUAAUAAAUUCAGGGUCGCAACGUAUUCAUUGAUUUGUAACAGAAAAUUCAAGAUGCCUCAAUACGAUUUUUAAAUGAUAUCUGGGUAUCGAAAAGUUGUCUGAUAGAGAAGGUGCUACACUUAAUUUGUCUGAUAUAAAUUUUUUGCACAUGUGGACAACUUAUUUUAUCAUGUCCAACAAUUUUCAGACAUAUUGCUAUGAUACCGAUCCGUAAAAUUUGUUAACAUUUUCAAAACGGUCUCAAAAUUAAUGCGUUCACAUUUUCGUCUGAAAAUUGUUUUGUUCGCAUCAAAUAACCAAAAUUUACUAAUAAAAAAGAUUUUCAGACGUAUUGCUAUGAGACAUUUUUUUUGUCUCAUUUUUUAUUUUUGUAAGUUAUUUUACGGGUUUGCGCUACACCACUAACGUCUGAAAAAUAUGUUUCCGGUAUCUCAGAACUAUCAUUCAACUACAGUCUGCAAAUCAGACAUAUUGCUAUGAUGCAGUUCGGUAAAAUUCUUUGACAAUUUUGAAAAUUCGGUCAGAUCAAACGCUACGCGGAAAAUGUCUGAUAUUGGUAUUUUCGAGUUCAAGAUAAUCGUAUCUAUCGAUUUGAUGCGGUUUUGGCCGUAUUGCUAUGAGACAAAAAUUUUGGUCGUGGGCUCUCGUACUAAUACAUAUAUACAUAUGCUGCCGUCGAAAACUGCUAUCAUUCUGUAGAUACAUCGGAAGAUUCAUGUUCCAUAAAAUGCUCUGUUUGUGUACAAUUUCGUUAAAGAAAAAUUCACUUAUUUCAACUUUACUCGUCAAUAAUUUCAAAAUUGGAGAUCUCUAUACUCAGCUGAUCAUUUCUUGAUCAUCAACUUGAAACGCUUCUUGCCUGAAAAAUUUGAAAGCAAGACGGCUUUCAAGUUCGAAAAGUGAGAGUGUGUAGUAAAAAAGUGUGAGUGUGUGGCAACUUGAAAGCAAUUUCUUGAACGUGUAACGUCUGGGUUACAGGAUGAUUAAACUAAUAUUACCCAUUCAUAUAGUUAUAUGUUAGUAAAAACAUCCUACUUUAUUCCAUUAAGAUACCCUCCAUAUUGACUGAUAUUCAUAAACACAUAUCUCCUAAAAUGGGAGGUAGACCUGCCUUCAUUUUAAUUUCGUAAACCCAAUUGCCGUAAACUAAAACCAAGUUCCUUUUAGGUUGCAAAGUUUUUGAGUCAACAGCAAAACCCUACGGCAGUAUAUUUAUAAUGCUCUUUCGUCAAAUAUAUAUUGCAAUCACAAAAGGAUGCAAAAUACGCAAACGGUAUUAAUCAAAAACACAAGAAAUGCGUUAACUCAAUGAAACAAGCAAAAAAAAGUUUUAGUUUGUACCGGUUAUGUAGACCCUGCAUGGAGGAAAACAAGAAAUCAAUUGACAUCGAAGUCAUCAGGUGAAAGGUCCAAACAAAAUUUGAACAAUGGCUCCGGAAGGAAUUCGUAAAUAAGUCACAACAAUGGUACACAACUCAUACCUUAGUAUUCCAAAUCACUAAUUUCGUCAUAGAAACAGAUUCGAUGAUGGUAGGUCAAAAUAAAUAUUGUUGAAAUAUAAGAUUUUCAAUUUGUGGCUUUGUGGCUUAAACCGUUUUUUUAUUUUUUUUAUGUUUUGUAUACAAACUACUAUUUAACUGGAAUUCAUCUGUAAUAAUAUAUAGAACUAAGUGCUUUUACCAUUUGUUACUUUAAAUGUUUUCCCCGGUUGAAAUACAACCGUUAAAUACAUACAUAAGUUGCGAGAAUAUCAUAUUUUAAAAUGGAUAACGUUUACGAAAACGAGGAAUAAAAAAUAACAGUUUGCCGAAAAGUGUAAUGUAUUAGUGUUAUAAUAAAAGAGCUAAUCGUGUGAUGUGUUUCGAGAAUACAGCGUUACAGGGCAUACAAACAUAAAACAAUUUACUUCUUAUACAUAAAUAUAUUGAAAUUACAUAAUACUUAUUUAU